Molecule: ribosomal RNA, 172 nt
Filed under: uncultured Bacillus sp.
Lineage: Bacteria; Bacillati; Bacillota; Bacilli; Caryophanales; Bacillaceae
Description: partial 16S ribosomal RNA
Rfam family: Bacterial small subunit ribosomal RNA
Source: RNAcentral
CCUACGGGAGGCAGCAGUGGGGAAUAUUGCACAAUGGGGGAAACCCUGAUGCAGCGACGCCGCGUGAAGGAAGAAGGUCUUCGGAUCGUAAACUUCUAUCAGCAGGGAAGAAGGAAGUGACAGUACCUGAGUAGGAAGCCCCGGCUAACUACGUGCCAGCAGCCGCGGUAAU